Molecule: RNA transcript, 3394 nt
Organism: Entelurus aequoreus (snake pipefish)
Lineage: Eukaryota; Metazoa; Chordata; Actinopteri; Syngnathiformes; Syngnathidae
Gene name: actin-binding LIM protein 1-like
Exons: 20
Source: RefSeq, a predicted model, not a curated record
UUGGACGACUCUUACUGCAAGACUUGCAAAAAUCCUCUGUUCACUGUGAAGAUAAACACUAAAAAUACACCUACCUUAAUCUGCUUACAGGUUGUGCGCCGCUCGAUGGGCCACGCACACACGGCGAGGGAGCCUUAAGAGCAACCUAAUACCUGACGGCUUCAUCAUCUCCAGAGUCUGUGCUUAUGGUUUCCCGCCUGGAGGGGCUGUGCAGCCUGGACUGUUUGGCUGAGCCCCUGGACGAGAUGUCAACCCGCCUCAACCUCAACAGCCUGGGCAGGAUUUGCGGCAACAGCCGCGGCAACAGCCGCGGCAGCGACAUGGUGAUUGUGGACCGGGUCAAGAGGAAGAACUCGGUCAGGCGCAUGUCGAUCAUCGAGGAUGGACAAAUAGCCGAGAUUCUCUACCUGAUCCCCAAGAACUGCAUGAUGGAGCAGCUGCCUUUUCUAAACCCCAACGACUAUGUUCUGUGUGAGAAGCUGGCGGCCAUACCUGCGGAUGUGUCAGUGCUUCACACCCGGAGCGAUCGUCAGCCUCAUACCCCUGCAGUCAAGAAGGUCAUCAGAUGCAUGAAAUGUGGGGAGGUCUGCAAAGGGGAGGUCCUGCGAGUCCAGUCAAGUCACUUCCACAUCAGAUGCUUCACCUGCAAGGUGUGUGGCUGCGACUUGGCGCGCUCCGGCUUCUUCUUGAAGAACGGAGACUCUCUCUGUCCGCUGGACUACCAGAGACUUCAUGGCACCCUCUGCAACAGCUGCGGGGGAUUUGUGGAGGGAGAGGUGGUUUCCGUCUUGGGCAAGACGUACCACCCCGCUUGCUUUGUGUGCACCAUUUGCAAGAAACCAUUUCCGGCUGGUGAUUGUGUCACCUUCAGUGGGAAAGAUUGCAUCUGCCAACGGUGUGUUAGCCCUUUGUCUCCUCCCCCUACUGGUAUCAGAUAUUCUAACAACUGCAACGGCUGCGGCCGAGACAUCAAGAACGGCCAGGCUUUGUUGGCGUUGGGGAGCCAGUGGCACCUUGGCUGCUUCAAGUGCAACAUCUGCCAAAGAAUGCUCAGUGGAGAAUACAUCAGCAAGGAUGGUGUCCCAUAUUGUGAGAGAGACUACCAGAUUCAGUUCGGCGUGCAAUGUGAAGCGUGUCAGAAGUUUAUAACGGGCAAAGUCCUGGAGGCAGGGGACAAACACUAUCACCCGGAAUGUGCAAGAUGCAGCCGAUGUGAUAUAACGUUCACAGAGGGAGAAGAACUGUAUCUGCAAGGAUCAACAGUGUGGCACCCACACUGCAGAGAAAGAAGCAGAAACAAUGACAAUUACAGGGUUAGAAGAGCCAAAGCACCUUGUCUUGAUUUCUUUUACCCCCCGAGUGAACUUAAGUCAACUCUAUCGUCAUCUGAAAGCUCCUGCUCCAGACCAAACUCCUGUAUACCUGGAAGCCCCAGUCGCAACAUAUGUGCUAAAGUAGAUGAUGAGAUCAUUGAUUACCGAGACUUAGCAGCAAUUCCCAGAGUCAAGGCUAUUUAUGACAUAGAGCAUCCUGAUAUGAUGUCCUAUAAGAGUGACGUCCUCAGCUCGGACGGCAAAGGCACCACACAACCUCAGGACAGACAGAGUUCUGCACAGUCUCCAGCAAAUGUAUCAGAGACCACAGAGGAGAGCUUUGAGAUGAGAAAGAGCAUUCCCAAGUCGGCAAGUCACGGAUCGUUCGGUGUUCAGUCCUACAGUCAUCACAGCUACACGCCCAUCCGAUCCCCUCAGCACUUCCACCGGCCCGGCCCUUUAUUUUCUGUCAACGACACCUUGCUCUCCCUCUCUUCCCAUCACCCUGACAACAAAGAUCAAGGUUUCAACAUGUACAAAAGGCCUCCAAUUUACAAACAGCAAGAUCCAAAUUCCUCCCAUACAUCCUCUUUGCCUGGAUAUGGCUGCAAUGGCCUCAAUCCGCCACAAUCAGCAAGCAGUGGUGACACGUUUAGAGCUGCUCCAUGAGAGCCCACAUCCAUUUGCACGAAUAGACAGAGGAGUGUCAUUACCUAACUUGCUGGAGCCAAAAGUGUAUCCAUAUGAGAUGCUCACGGUUACCAGCAGGGGGCGUGUGAAGCUUCCAAGAGAGGUUGACAGAACAAGACUUGAGCGUCACCUGUCUCCUGACUCCUUCUUUGAAAUAUUUGGCAUGGCGAAACAACAAUUUGAUAGACUUCCACUUUGGAAACGUAACGACAUGAAGAAAAAAGCCAAUCUUUUCUAAAUGCGUGUUUUAUGAAUGUAUAUUUAUUUAUUUGCACUUGGAUCAGAAAUUAUUCAUAUCUUUUUUUUUGCCUAAAAAUUAUUUAUUACAACGAUUACAGGCCGUUUUAUUCACGGUGAACAUCUCGACUGUCUAUUUUGGGGAUUAGCAACAGUCUUUUCCUUUCCAGUCGUCCCUCGUCACAUCGCGCUUCAAAUAUUGCGGCUUCACAACGUCGCAGAUUUUUUGGGGGAUAUUUAAAAAUAUUUUUUAAUACAAGUACAAAACCCAAAACCAGGGAAGUUGGCACAUUGUGUAAUUUGUAAAUAAAAACAGAAUACAAUGAUUUGCUUGUCAACUUGUAUUCAAUUAAAUAGAUUGCAAAGACAAGAUAUUUAAUGUUGAAACUGAGAACCUUUUUUUUUUUUUUUGCAAAUAAUCAUUAACUUCGAAUUUAAUGGCAGCAACACAUUUGUUCAUUUCACGGACCGCAGAUGGGGAAAUCCCUAAAUUCCUUGCAAUGUUUCAUUGCGAAAUGUUGUUCUUAAACUGUUGGACAAUUUGCUCAUGCAUUUGUUCACAAAGUGGUGACCCUCGCCCCGUCCUUGUUUUUCAUGGAAGCUGCUUUUAUACCCAAUCGUGGCACCCACCUGCUCCCAAUUAGCCUGUUCACCUGUGGGAUGUUCCAAAUUAGUGUUUGAUGAGCAUUCCUCAGCUUUCUCAGUCUUUUUUGCCACUUGUGCCAGCUUUUUUUAAACAUGUUGCAGGCAUCAAAUUCCAAAUGAACUAAUAUUGGCAAAAAAUAAACUUUUCCAGUUCGAACGUUAAGUAUCUUGUCUUUGCAGUCUAUUCAAUUGAAUAUAGGUUGAAAAGGAUUUGCAAAUCAUUGAAUUCUGUUUUUAUUUACCAUUUACACAAAGUGCCAACUUCACUGGUUUGGGUUUUUUUAUAUUAAAAAAUGUUAAUCAUAAAUCAAGCAUUUUCAAGCUUAAAAAUGACUAAAUAAACUAAUAUCUUUACAACAAUAUAGUUGACCACGAGAUGAGACCAAACCAAUCAGAGCGUGCUGUUCAGUAUCGUGAGCACUGAUUGGCUCAGCCUCAGACAGCAUUACUAUAUUGCAAUUAAAGUGUCUAAAAGGUGACUAAAGAAUGUCAUUUAAUGUAAAAACAAA